GAUGAACGCUGGCGGCGUGCCUAAUACAUGCAAGUCGAGCGAACAGACGAGGAGCUUGCUCCUCUGACGUUAGCGGCGGACGGGGGAGUAACACGUGGAUAACCUACCUAUAAGACUGGGAUAACUUCGGGAAACCGGAGCUAAUACCGGAUAAUAUAUUGAACCGCAUGGUUCAAUAGUGAAAGACGGUUUUGCUGUCACUUAUAGAUGGAUCCGCGCCGCAUUAGCUAGUUGGUAGGGUAACGGCUUACCAAGGCAACGAUGCGUAGCCGACCUGAGAGGGUGAUCGGCCACACUGGAACUGAGACACGGUCCAGACUCCUACGGGAGGCAGCAGUAGGGAAUCUUCCGCAAAGGGCGAAAGCCUGACGGAGCAACGCCGCGUGAGUGAUGAAGGUCUUCGGAUCGUAAAACUCUGUUAUUAGGGAAGAACAAAUGUGUAAGUAACUAUGCACGUCUUGACGGUACCUAAUCAGAAAGCCACGGCUAACUACGUG
RNAcentral lists this ribosomal RNA (497 nucleotides) under uncultured bacterium. RNAcentral describes it as "partial 16S ribosomal RNA". It matches the Rfam family "Bacterial small subunit ribosomal RNA", at positions 28 to 507 of the family's 1533-position model. The record is from RNAcentral.